AUUGAACGCUGGCGGCAUGCUUUACACAUGCAAGUCGAACGGCAGCGCGGGCUUCGGCCUGGCGGCGAGUGGCGAACGGGUGAGUAAUGCAUCGGAACGUGCCCAGUAGUGGGGGAUAGCCCGGCGAAAGCCGGAUUAAUACCGCAUACGACCUGAGGGUGAAAGCGGGGGACCGAAAGGCCUCGCGCGAUUGGAGCGGCCGAUGUCGGAUUAGCUAGUUGGUGGGGUAAAGGCUUACCAAGGCGACGAUCCGUAGCUGGUCUGAGAGGACGACCGGCCGCACUGGGACUGAGACACGGCCCAGACUCCUACGGGAGGCAGCAGUGGGGAAUUUUGGACAAUGGGGGCAAACCUGAUCCAGCCAUGCCGCGUGCGGGAAGAAGGCCUUCGGGUUGUAAACCGCUUUUGUUCGGGAAGAAAUCCUCUGGGCUAAUACCCCGGGGGGAUGACGGUACCGGAAGAAUAAGCACCGGCUAACUACGUG
This 484-nucleotide ribosomal RNA is filed under the name uncultured bacterium. Its description in RNAcentral is "partial 16S ribosomal RNA". It matches the Rfam family "Bacterial small subunit ribosomal RNA", at positions 28 to 507 of the family's 1533-position model. The record is from RNAcentral.